CCCCAUGUAGCUCAGUCAGUAGAGCAUGGUGCUUACAACACCAGGGUUGGGGGUUCCAUUCCCACAGGGGA
Non-coding RNA from Salmo salar (Atlantic salmon), 71 nucleotides. Lineage: Eukaryota; Metazoa; Chordata; Actinopteri; Salmoniformes; Salmonidae. The record is from Rfam.